Long non-coding RNA from Homarus americanus (American lobster), 408 nucleotides. RefSeq lists it as uncharacterized. The transcript is spliced from 4 exons. Lineage: Eukaryota; Metazoa; Arthropoda; Malacostraca; Decapoda; Nephropidae. The record is from RefSeq and is a predicted model, not a curated record.
GGGCGGCUAGCGAGCAGAUCAGUGGUGAAGAGGAUAAAAUUACAGGUAGUCAUGUGACCCCGAGGUGUGUGCCGUAGUCUGCUGGUCACUUCCUCUUCACCUCCGGCUGCGCCAUCUUAAGGAAGGAAAAAUGUUCAGCACGCUGUGGGAAUCGUCAAAGAACUCGCCAUUCAGCCGGCCAUUUGAGGCUCAUUGUGAUGCCCCAAAUAAGGAACUUGUGAAAAGAAGGAACAUUUCUGCAGCUAAUGCUGGGGGUGACAGUUGUGAAUAUGGCUCUUUGAAAUAUUAUGCCUUAUGUGGCUUUGGUGGACUCCUGAGCUGUGGUAUUACUCAUACUGCAGUGGUACCUCUCGAUCUGGUCAAAUGCAGAAUUCAGGUUAAUCCAGACAAAUACAAAGGAAUCUUUAA